This 484-nucleotide ribosomal RNA is filed under the name uncultured bacterium. Its description in RNAcentral is "partial 16S ribosomal RNA". It matches the Rfam family "Bacterial small subunit ribosomal RNA", at positions 30 to 507 of the family's 1533-position model. The record is from RNAcentral.
AUUGAACGCUGGCGGCAGGCCUAACACAUGCAAGUCGAGCGGAUGAAGGGAGCUUGCUCCUGGAUUCAGCGGCGGACGGGUGAGUAAUGCCUAGGAAUCUGCCUGGUAGUGGGGGAUAACGUCCGGAAACGGGCGCUAAUACCGCAUACGUCCUGAGGGAGAAAGUGGGGGAUCGUCGGACCUCACGCUAUCAGAUGAGCCUAGGUCGGAUUAGCUAGUUGGUGGGGUAAAGGCCUACCAAGGCGACGAUCCGUAACUGGUCUGAGAGGAUGAUCAGUCACACUGGAACUGAGACACGGUCCAGACUACUACGGGAGGCAGCAGUGGGGAAUAUUGGACAAUGGGCGAAAGCCUGAUCCAGCCAUGCCGCGUGUGUGAAGAAGGUCUUCGGAUUGUAAAGCACUUUAAGUUGGGAGGAAGGGCAGUAAGUUAAUACCUUGCUGUUUUGACGUUACCAACAGAAUAAGCACCGGCUAACUUCGUG